AUCAUUACUGGGUCACAGGGCGCUUCUGCGCCCUACACCAACCCUUCGUUUCCCGCCCGUCCUUUGGCGCUAAAGGAGGGCUCCCGUAAGGGAGGCCUCUGCCAAACGUAACCCUGAACAACGGUGUAGCCUGAAGUAAAAAGCAAAUAGUUAAAACUUUCAACAACGGAUCUCUUGGUUCUGGCAACGAUGAAGAACGCAGCGAAAUGCGAUAAGUAAUGUGAAUUGCAGAAUUCAGUGAAUCAUCGAAUCUUUGAACGCACAUUGCGCCCCCUGGUAUUCCGGGGGGCACACCUGUUCGAGCGCCAUUUCACCUCUCAAGCCUCGCUUGGUGAUGGGCUCAGCCCGCGGGCGGGCCCGAAACUCGUGGGCGUCGACGACCGGCUCCAAGCGUAGCAAAACCCUCGCUUCGGAACCCCGGUUGGCGGUCGCCCCGGACCUCAAAGUCUUUCACAAGGUUGGCCUCGGAUCAGGUGGGGAUACCCGCUGAACUUAAGCAUAUCAAUAAGCGGAGGAAAGGG
Molecule: ribosomal RNA, 521 nt
Filed under: uncultured fungus
Lineage: Eukaryota; Fungi
Description: eukaryotic LSU rRNA
Rfam family: 5.8S ribosomal RNA (bases 155-308)
Source: RNAcentral